Molecule: long non-coding RNA, 1404 nt
Filed under: Physcomitrium patens
Lineage: Eukaryota; Viridiplantae; Streptophyta; Bryopsida; Funariales; Funariaceae
Description: long non-coding RNA (PPAT_LNC008222)
Source: RNAcentral
AAAGAGUGCAACUCAGAACCAGUUGAGCACGUGGUUUUCUCGUCUGAUAUUGUCGAAUGAUCUGAAUUGUCGUGAUCUGGGACUGUGCAGGGAGAUCCCUUACCCGUGAACUUUAAGGUCGUCCCUGAAGCUCCCAUUUCAAUUGGUACUUGAUGCUCUUGACGUAUUUUAUCAUUUUUUGGUUUAGCAUCAGAAGGCAUCGAAUUCUUAAGAAAGGAAUCAUCUGAACUAGUUAAAUCCACGAAGUCCACGAAUCUCGAUGCAACAUUCGCGUCCGAAAUAUCAUGAGACCGAUGUUCUGGGCUUGGAAUUUGCUCAAAUCGGUCAACUUUUAUGAGCUCCAGCUUCUUAGACAUUUUUUGGAGCCUGAAACUUACUCCCAUUGUCUCUACAUUUGAAACCAUGCUCACCUCUUCCAUCAUGUUCUCCCUCACAGAAACAGAGUGAGGACCAUUCUGUGGAUCAGGAGGCUGCUUUUUUAUUUGAAGUUCUGGAGCAUAUUCCUCACUCAUGGGAGCUAUGGAACCGACGCUGUCCAGCAGGCAUGCAAGGUCGUUGAGAACCUCAGGAUCAUUAGGCUUCUGAUUUCUGACUAUAGGUAUAGAACAAGGCUCCACAUCGUGCGAAUCCGGAAAUUCAGAAAAGUUCCACAUUUCACAGCCGUUAGAAGAACGUAUCUGAGAAAUCGUUUUCACAAGCUUGUCAUCUGCUUCCAAGUUGGUCUGGCCUCCCGCAUCUUCGAGCACAAGUAAGGAUUUCUGUAAAUGUUCUUCCUUAGUGGGAAGGAGUGGGUCGGAGAUUGACGCAGAUUCGAAGUCCAUCACCUGUACACGCACAGGAUACAAUGGAGAUAUAUGUGCUUAAAUUCGACCUUGAGUCAGCCUCUAAAUCUAAUCACGCCAAAUCAAAUUGAUUGCAAGCACACUUUCUGAACUAGAGAUUAAUUCGGCAAUCGAGGGUGAUUUGUAAUGUAGAUCCUCGAAAGGACUCUCAUGAGCAUAAAUAGAUUCCAUUAGAACAAUCAGUAAUUACUCCACAAGCAACUGAUAAAUACGCAUGCACGAGUGCAUCGAGAACUCCAGAAAUAAACUGCAUUUCUUGCAUCGUUUCCUGGUCAGGUUGUGGAAAAACAGCAUGUAGUUUUUGAUUGAAAGUCUGGGGUAAACCUUCAGUUUCGUAAAAUCAUCCGCUGCUUUGUCCACAGGCGAGGUUAAGUUUAUCAAGGUCUUAUUAAUUUGUUCUUUUGUUUUGCAGGGUAGUUCUUCCACGUCGAGCUUGAUCUCUUGCUCUAGUCGACACUCGCUUCCUGAAUCAUUCGUGGAGGUAUCGUUUUCAAACCAGGCACAUGUUUCCACAGGUCGAAUUGGACCGUCACCGAAACCACAAACGCAACAUGCUAGUGGU